Long non-coding RNA from Molossus molossus (Pallas's mastiff bat), 453 nucleotides. RefSeq lists it as uncharacterized. NCBI's taxonomy places the organism in Eukaryota, Metazoa, Chordata, Mammalia, Chiroptera, Molossidae. The transcript has 3 exons. The record is from RefSeq and is a predicted model, not a curated record.
GUAGAGUGAGGCGGCGGAGGCUGCGGUGGCGGCGCUGGUGGCGGAUGUGUUGAGGGAGAGUGCCUCCAACUUUCCUCCUGUCCUGAGAGGGUUUUGGCUCGGAGGGUCGGGAUGUCAGAGAAAAAGCAGCCGGUAGACUUGGGUCUCCUGGAGGAGGACGACGAGUUCGAGGAGUUCCCUGCGGAAGAUUGGACUGGUUUAGAUGAAGAUGAAGAUGCACAUGUCUGGGAGGAUAAUUGGGAUGAUGACAAUGUAGAAGAUGACUUCUCCAAUCAGUUACGAGCUGAACUAGAGAAACAUGGCUACAAGAUGGAGACCUCAUAGUAUCCAGAAGAAGUAUUGAAGCAACCUAAAGUUGAACUGUUACUAAAUUCUAGGACACACAAUCCAGGAUGGAACAUUUGAAAAAUGUUUAUUUCAUUACUUGCUUGGCUUUCUUUUUGCUUUCGUAAU